GAUGAACGCUAGCGGCAGGCUUAAUACAUGCAAGUCGUGGGGCAGCGCAGUGUAGCAAUACAUGGGCGGCGACCGGCAAACGGGUGCGGAACACGUACACAACCUUCCUUCAAAUGGGGAAUAGCCCAGGGAAACUUGGAUUAAUACCCCGUAACAUUAUGAAGUGGCAUCACUUUAUAAUUAUAGCUCCGGCGUUUGGAGAUGGGUGUGCGGCUGAUUAGGUAGUUGGCGGGGAACGGCCCACCAAGCCUUCGAUCAGUAACUGGUGUGAGAGCACGACCAGUCACACGGGCACUGAGACACGGGCCCGACUCCUACGGGAGGCAGCAGUAAGGAAUAUUGGGCAAUGGACGCAAGUCUGACCCAGCCAUGCCG
Molecule: ribosomal RNA, 375 nt
Filed under: uncultured bacterium
Lineage: Bacteria
Description: bacterial SSU rRNA
Rfam family: Bacterial small subunit ribosomal RNA
Source: RNAcentral